GAUGAACGCUGGCGGCGUGCCUAAUACAUGCAAGUCGAGCGAACAGACGAGGAGCUUGCUCCUCUGACGUUAGCGGCGGACGGGUGAGUAACACGUGGAUAACCUACCUAUAAGACUGGGAUAACUUCGGGAAACCGGAGCUAAUACCGGAUAAUAUAUUGAACCGCAUGGUUCAAUAGUGAAAGACGGUUUUGCUGUCACUUAUAGAUGGAUCCGCGCCGCAUUAGCUAGUUGGUAAGGUAACGGCUUACCAAGGCAACGAUGCAUAGCCGACCUGAGAGGGUGAUCGGCCACACUGGGACUGAGACACGGUCCAGACUCCUACGGGAGGCAGCAGUAGGGAAUCUUCCGCAAUGGGCGAAAGCCUGACGGAGCAACGCCGCGUGAGUGAUGAAGGUCUUCGGAUCGUAAAACUCUGUUAUUAGGGAAGAACAAAUGUGUAAGUAACUAUGCACGUCUUGACGGUACCUAAUCAGAAAGCCACGGCUAACUACGUG
Molecule: ribosomal RNA, 497 nt
Filed under: uncultured bacterium
Lineage: Bacteria
Description: partial 16S ribosomal RNA
Rfam family: Bacterial small subunit ribosomal RNA
Source: RNAcentral